UUUUUUUUUUCCAGGUACCUCCAGCCCCGCAAACUGCACCAUUAACCCAAUGUCUAACAUAACUAGUAUUAAGCAGAUGUCAGCAAGAUGUUGUAACGGUUCCUCUGGAGUUUGCGCUAGUCAGUACAACGGCCUUUGUAAGUUCAUCCAGCUUACAGGAUCGUGUGAUUAUACCAUGGACGUUUGCAACUCUACUUCAGCGAACUGCACUUGUUGCGGUUCGUGCCAGGAAAUCAGCAGCAACAGCACAUGUAAACAGAAAGGAGGCCGUUGCUCCACACAAUGCCGUC
Molecule: long non-coding RNA, 290 nt
Organism: Macrobrachium nipponense
Lineage: Eukaryota; Metazoa; Arthropoda; Malacostraca; Decapoda; Palaemonidae
Exons: 3
Source: RefSeq, a predicted model, not a curated record